GCUCGGGAGCAGGUUUACUUUAUGUAAACAGGAUUAGAUCGCGGCCUCUCAGCAACUGGACCUUUAGCCAGCAACACACUGUGAGACCAACUGCACACAAACACUUUGUUUGUUUGCUGAUGUUUGUUGAGUAGAUGGUGUGUAUUGAAGACCUGUUGGCAAAAAACACCUUAUGUCUCAAGGUCAAUGACCUCAAGAGAGACUGAAGAAGAGGAGGCAUGACCAUCUUUAAGAGGACAUACGGGGAAUGUGAACUUCAUGCCAGAGGAUUACUUCAACUUUUUCAUAUGCAAUGCAGCUAAGCCUGUGCUUACAUGAGAAAAAUCACUUAUUGUAUGCAAUUUUAUAAAAUAUAGAAAUUAUCAUUGAAACACACACACACACACAGCAG
Molecule: long non-coding RNA, 391 nt
Organism: Oreochromis aureus
Lineage: Eukaryota; Metazoa; Chordata; Actinopteri; Cichliformes; Cichlidae
Source: Ensembl